Molecule: long non-coding RNA, 924 nt
Filed under: Carassius auratus (goldfish)
Lineage: Eukaryota; Metazoa; Chordata; Actinopteri; Cypriniformes; Cyprinidae
Description: lncRNA (ENSCARG00000002065.1)
Source: RNAcentral
GUCAUUUUCUAAAUAUUUAUUUUCUAAUUAUUUUUAUCAUCAUGAUCAUUAUUAUUAUAAUAAAUAAUUGUUGUCUUCAUUAGAAUAUUUAUUUUAUUGUAGUAAUUUAAAGCAAUUUUCUGACAACACAGACGCGCGCGUGCGCAUCAGAGUGUGUGAUUGAUUGGCACGCGCGCUGUGACCGCAUUCCGUCGCGUCGCGUCGCGGGGAGGAGACGCCAGAGACGCGUCGCGGGCGGAGCGGAGCGGAAGGGAGCUGCUGGAGGUCGCGCGCUGAACGCCGGUGGACGCGGUUCUGGAUCGGAGCGCACCGGAGAGAACGGGGAGCGCCGCCGGUUCACCGAGAGUUCCCGAGCAGAAAGAGACGAGCAGCGGCAAAACACAGACGGAGGCUGGUUCGGGAGGGUUCCUCCACAGCGGCUCUGCAGGACUGAAGCUGGAGCAGAUGAUGGAGACGGAGCAGAAGGAGAUCCGGCUGCGUGAAGCUCACAUCAUGUACGUGCAGCAGCUCGCCGCUCGGGCUUCAGGGGCCGGCUUCAUGAGCAGGGGACCCAGUCAUCCAUCACGUGUCUCUAAUCAGAGCAGUUUGGACUCCGAACGCGACCGGGACUCGGAUGAUGAUGAUGGGACGAUGGAGGGCGAUGAAGGUAGUGAGGAAGAUGAGCGGCCCUUCGGGAGCUUCUCGGGCCCCGGGGCCACCGCAGAUGUCCAUGGAGCGCCGUCUCCUGCUGUCAGGGUCAAACAGGAGCCCGAGGACGAUCUCUCACCCGUCGGGCGACCGUCUGUGUCUCCUCCUAACGGCCAAGCGGACUGGAGCUACGAGGAUCACUUUAAAACAGAUAUAAUGACUCCUCAUCACAGAUCUCUCAGGUCGUGUGUUUGGAGGAAGAAGGUUGAGAGACGUUUUAAUGCCAUCUCUCUGUGA